Molecule: long non-coding RNA, 343 nt
Organism: Cynoglossus semilaevis (tongue sole)
Lineage: Eukaryota; Metazoa; Chordata; Actinopteri; Pleuronectiformes; Cynoglossidae
Exons: 3
Source: RefSeq, a predicted model, not a curated record
CCGUGGUUGGAGUCCAACGACUUGGCGUGGAGGCCGACGUUUCUCCUCAUGGCCUGGGACCUCAGCUGGUACUUCUUAAACCAGUCUUCACUCUCCUGCUCCUUACUGUGCCGCAACUCCUGUGAUUUUCUGUCAAGGAGCGGGACGAGAAACCAAACUAUACAUCAGAGAAAACGUCAGGUUUCUAAAGGGAUGGUUCCUGAUUUGCACCUCAGUCUGCAGGGCCUUGUGUAACCUGUCGAAAUCAGGGACCUGCUGAUUGAUUCUUGGGUGGAAACUUGGCUGCUCGUCCAGGAAUCCAAGCUUCUCUUUCUUGGUGCGGUCGGCAGCACGAUGUUUUGGG